UUAAGAUAUUGAUAUUAUAGGGGAAGGUUUUUAUAAUAACCUUUACCAACUUGGACUAUUUGGGGGAAUAAAGAAGACCACACUCCACAGUGGGCUAUAUCACUAAAUAUACAGUCCACUACUAUUUUGUGGCCUACGUG
Eptesicus fuscus (big brown bat) is the source of this 140-nucleotide small nucleolar RNA. RefSeq annotates it as small nucleolar RNA SNORA4. Lineage: Eukaryota; Metazoa; Chordata; Mammalia; Chiroptera; Vespertilionidae. The transcript has a single exon. The record is from RefSeq and is a predicted model, not a curated record.